CCUACGGGAGGCUGCAGUGGGGAAUAUUGCACAAUGGGGGAAACCCUGAUGCAGCAACGCCACGUGAAGGAAGACGGUUUUCGGAUUGUAAACUUCUAUCAUUAGAGAAGAUAGAGAUGGUGUUACCUGAAUAAGCAGCGGCUGCUAACGACGUGCCAGCAGCCGCGGUAAUACGGAGGGGGCAAGCGUUAGCCGGAAUUACUGGGUGUAAAGGGGGAGUAGGGGGGAAAGUAAGUGAGAUGUGAAAGCCUGAAGCUUAACUUAAGUAUGGCAUAAAGAACUAUCUAGCUAGAGUAUAGGAGAGGAAAGUGGAAUUCCUAGUGUAGCGGUAAAAUGCGUAGAGAUUAGGAAGAACACUCGUGGCGAAGGCGACCUUCUGGAAUGAAACUGACGCUGAUGCUCGAAAGCGUGGGGAGCGAACAGGAUUAGAUACCCUGGUAGUC
Molecule: ribosomal RNA, 443 nt
Filed under: uncultured bacterium
Lineage: Bacteria
Description: partial 16S ribosomal RNA
Rfam family: Bacterial small subunit ribosomal RNA
Source: RNAcentral